This 253-nucleotide ribosomal RNA is filed under the name uncultured bacterium. RNAcentral's name for it is "partial 16S ribosomal RNA". It matches the Rfam family "Bacterial small subunit ribosomal RNA", at positions 524 to 776 of the family's 1533-position model. The record is from RNAcentral.
UACGUAGGGUGCAACGUUGUCCGGAAUUAUUGGGCGUAAAGAGCUCGUAGGCGGUCUGUCACGUCGGCUGUGAAAUCCCGAGGCUCAACCUCGGGUCUGCAGUCGAUACGGGCAAACUAGAGUAUUGCAGGGGAGACUGGAAUUCCUGGUGUAGCGGUGAAAUGCGCAGAUAUCAGGAGGAACACCGGUGGCGAAGGCGGGUCUCUGGGCAAUAACUGACGCUGGAGGAGCGAAAGCGUGGGGAGCGAACAGG